This is a long non-coding RNA of Etheostoma spectabile (orangethroat darter), 95 nucleotides long. RefSeq lists it as uncharacterized. The transcript is spliced from 3 exons. The record is from RefSeq and is a predicted model, not a curated record. Lineage: Eukaryota; Metazoa; Chordata; Actinopteri; Perciformes; Percidae.
UAUAAAGAUGAAAAAUGUUGCGUUUACUUCACACAAGUGCAGCCAUUUUCCCCUGUUGCCAUGGGAACGUUAUGAAGUGACGUAACUAUACAACA